CAUAUCCCGAAAUAUGAUAUUUCGGGAUAUAAGGAAGAGUAAGGGAUGACCCCAGUUUGUUGUCCUGAGUAGCUGGGACAAUGAAGUUGCCACUGACUUGCAUGGAGAAGGCUGUCAAUGGAAACCAAGGCUGGGGCAUUCAGUCUUCAUUUUAAGAUGUCUGUUGGACUUCCGGGUGGAAAAGUCAGGUGCAACCCAUCUCUGAGGCAACAAUUACUCUCACACGGAUGAGGAAACCAAACUCAUGGAGACUUUGAGUGUCCCAUGGAUGACUCUGGUUGCUUUGUAUGGACGGAUGACCACCUGUUGAGAGACAGACGACCUACAGACAGCAUGUGCUUAAUGCUUUGUGAAAACAAAUACCUGGAGAAAGCAAACUUUUCUCGGGGAUGCAAAUAACCAUGGAUGUGCUUUGUUUUGUAAAGACGGCUGAACACUGCUGGUUGCCUGAAUGGCUUUAUUACAUGUGUGAGCCAUCGGAAAUGCCGCCGCACUCCCAGUCAACAGGGGCGAUCUGUAACCACAAACUCGGUGACAGAAAGACAAAUGAGGAAAUCUCAGGACCCAGUGAGGCCUAAUUAGUAUCCAUACAGGAAACUCUCCAGUAACCUGGCAGUUUGCAGCCGGGGGAGGACACGCGCGGCAUUGUCUUAACCACAAGUUCAUCAAACGCGUAAUUAGCCACCGGCCACCAGCCACCUUUGCAAACUGGGUCUGAGCUGCUGCCAAUCCCAGACCGGCCGGCGGGUGUCUCUUAACAGAAGGCUAGGUAGAUGUACAAACACUGUGCUCUCCAGCAGGGCCAAAUAGCCAGGCCUGUCUGGCUUUUUGACGUGGCGGACUCACAAUAUUUUCCCCUGUGUUAAUGAACUUGGAUUUCAGGGGUCGGUUCCCCUCAAGUUACCUCCAAAAGAAGAAAGCCCAGGGCAUCACUUUCUGUCAGAGUUGAGGGACUGCUAUGGAGAGAGUUGGCCUGUAGAGGAUGACCUUGGUUCAGACAAUUAGUUUCCAUCGUCGAGAGGCAUUAAACACUUCCAACAAAGAGAGAUAUUAGAAGCCUGGCACUUCUAACCUUCCACAUCCAGCAUGGUGAGAAAGGCCUCGGGAUCCCCACCUUCCCAUUUCAGCACUGCAGAAAGAAUUAACUGGAAAAUAUUGUCUCUGCAAAUAAAAAAUAAUAGUACAUCCAA
Molecule: long non-coding RNA, 1190 nt
Organism: Mustela erminea (ermine)
Lineage: Eukaryota; Metazoa; Chordata; Mammalia; Carnivora; Mustelidae
Exons: 4
Source: RefSeq, a predicted model, not a curated record